GCGGGCGCCCACAGCGCUCCUCCGCUGGGACCGCUCGUCUGGCCCAGGUCUCCUCACGCUGGCUACCUCAAACCGAGGCUUGGCUUCUGCUGAGUUCUUACCUGUCUCUCCUUUGCGCGAGGAUUCUCAGGACAUCUUUCUGCCGGAUCUCUGGAGAGGUGUCUGUGCUGGUGGGGGUUUUCAGCAGGUCACUGUUUGCCCCAGACCCCAGGAACUGAUGUCUUUCCAGCUUUAACGGCGAAUAUGCUCAAUGCUUCUGACCUAUCUGCCCCCCCCCAUUGCCAUACCAAAUGUUUCCUGGGACUUUCGCUUUCUUCCCAAGAUCCAAUAUAGGAAAUUCACCAUUUGAGAACUCAGUGUCAAUGGAUUGAUUGUAUCUGAAAAGUUCCUUUAGUUACUUAUUUGGAUCUCAGGCUGCAUUUUUUCAGGGGAACAGUAUGAUAAUUGUUUGUUACCUUACUAGGCCAAUCCAGAAAUGCCAACAUAGCCCGUGUCACAGGUGAACCUCCCAGAGUCCUCCUGGUCCUUGAACCCCUCAGGUUCUCCCUCCGCCAUAAUCAGAUGCCAUGGGCUUCCCCAAGAGUUUUAAGUCUCUCAUGUAUCUCCUGCCUCUGUACACCCCUCUCCCCUCUGUCCAAAAUCAAAACAAAACAAAACUCACAAAUCUGCUCAUUCCUAAAGGUAGACCCAACCUAGCAAGGUGUCCGGGGGGGAAAGAAAUCUUAUCACACAUUCCCACUGAUAUGUAUCAUCAUUGACAUUACCCAACAUCCUCUAACCCUUCCAGAAUGACCCACACUUUUAAUUGUCAACACUUCAAAACUCAGAUGAAUCCCUAAAGGGUAGCUGGAGUUCCAGGCAGGUAG
Long non-coding RNA from Ailuropoda melanoleuca (giant panda), 866 nucleotides. RefSeq lists it as uncharacterized. NCBI's taxonomy places the organism in Eukaryota, Metazoa, Chordata, Mammalia, Carnivora, Ursidae. The transcript is spliced from 3 exons. The record is from RefSeq and is a predicted model, not a curated record.